RNAcentral lists this long non-coding RNA (760 nucleotides) under Hordeum vulgare. RNAcentral describes it as "long non-coding RNA (HVUL_LNC000464)". Lineage: Eukaryota; Viridiplantae; Streptophyta; Magnoliopsida; Poales; Poaceae. The record is from RNAcentral.
GCAGGGCGCGACUAGCGCGGGGGGCGGCCGACGUGUAGUGCCAGCGACGGCCAUGGCUAACGGGGAUGAUUCAUCGUCAAGUUCAUCUGGAACCAUGACGGCUGCAGCGGUACCAUGUCCAUUUGGGUCAUGAUGUGUACCGACUUCCGAAUGGUGUAGUCAACAAAUUCCUGCUAAUCCAAAAACAUUGACAUUGGUCGACGAUGUAUUCGAUAGCGGGUUCUUGACAGGGAAAUCCACACCAGAGGUGGGUUAAAACUGAAAAAAAUAUACUAAGCACAAAAACGGAAUCGUGACAACGAGGGGAAUCCAUUUUUGCAAAGAGGGAUCAGAUUUAUACCUCCGUGCGAUCGACGAGAGCCUGCUUGAUCCAGGCUUGACGCAUGCUCGAUGGAGAGUUGGUGGAGCGAAGCGUGCUGAUAACGUGUUCCGCAACUCCUGCCGACGAGUCCGGUCCAAUGUUGCGGAGCGGAGCUAGCGUCGUAGAUGAAGUAGUCGAACACACAAAGUCACAGCACACGAGGAAGUAGAGAGGGAACAAAGCUUUAUUAAUCAAUGAAAUCUCUGUUACAAUGAUUGCCUCUUCUCUUUUUAUAUAGGGGUAUGAGGAUGAGGGGAUAACUAUCUACUUAAGGUAAAGAGGGAAAACAAUAAACGCUGGCUUCGUGCCACGCACGGAAGCCAGGCUCGCUAGCCCAACAGAGCCUUCGGCCCGUCGGUUUCCCAACACGAUCAAUAGGGCGAUCCGUGAUGUCCUGGC